GGCACCUGCUUCUUGACUACUUUAGCAGCAGAGCUGAAAAGGGCGUUUCUUUCUAGGCAUGUGAUUUUUCAUUGAUGAUGUUGAACAACUCCUCUUCUUGCUACCUGUAGUCUCUGUGAAUGUCACUCUUGGAUCAUGGUCAUGCUCCCCAAGGCCUUCCCCACCAGGACCUUGCUUGAGAAUAAUACAAGUGGUGGGGAAGUGGGGCCGCACCAUGCUGGGAAGCAGGUCCAAGUUAGCAGAGGUACCUGGGGCUAGGACUCCACCAUCUCUUUCUGUGCAACGGAAGGGAGACAGCAACAUGAAGCAGAUUUGA
Molecule: long non-coding RNA, 316 nt
Filed under: Ailuropoda melanoleuca (giant panda)
Lineage: Eukaryota; Metazoa; Chordata; Mammalia; Carnivora; Ursidae
Description: lncRNA (ENSAMEG00000024686.1)
Source: RNAcentral